ACGAACUGUGCAAACGUUAUUCGGAAUUACUGGGCGUAAAGGGCGCGUAGGCGGCCCACUAAGUCAGACGUGAAAUCCCCCGGCUUAACCUGGGAACUGCGUCUGAUACUGGAGGGCUUGAGUAUGGGAGAGGGAUGUAGAAUUCCAGGUGUAGCGGUGAAAUGCGUAGAUAUCUGGAGGAAUACCGGUGGCGAAGGCGGCAUCCUGGACCAUUACUGACGCUGAGGCGCGAAAGCUAGGGGAGCAAACGGGA
RNAcentral lists this ribosomal RNA (253 nucleotides) under uncultured prokaryote. RNAcentral's name for it is "partial 16S ribosomal RNA". It matches the Rfam family "Bacterial small subunit ribosomal RNA", at positions 525 to 777 of the family's 1533-position model. The record is from RNAcentral.